GAAUUCCAAGCAGAAAGUAUGAGAAGACACACACAGCAAUGCGUGUCUUCCCCUCGGCUGCUUGUGUAGAGCUCAGACAAUGAAAAAACUAGAUUCCCCACCUACCCCCACCCCCUCCCGCGACAAGAUUUUUGUUUUCGUUCGUUCUGAACCGUGGAGGAUGUGCAAAAACAAAUCAUUUUUAAACAAAAAAACAAACUGGGAUGAGGAUUACCCAAAUUAACACUGGCUGAGCUUGCUAAGGGGGAUCUAGGAUGCUCAAAACAGGAACGGUUGUAAACCCCAUUCCUGUCCCAAUCACACGCUCAAUAAACGUUACUGCUUCUGCUGCUGCCGCCGCUGCUGCUGGUGUUACUACUACUACUACCACUACAGGGUGGGGAAAAACCUCUGGACACUGAAAACCUGGAGACAACCAUUUCCUCUGAGCCUGGAUGGAGCCGCAGUGGACAAAAUGAAAAUAGCCGCGCAUCUUCCUCCACCCGCCUGAAGCGCAACUCCAGCUCCGCCUGUAGAGGUCAACUCACUCACACACCCCCUCCCUCCAUCCCAGAGCUCCUUCCUUUUGACUGUUGCCGCAGUCAGACUAGGUGUGCACCCUGCAAGGCCGCCCUUCUUUGCACCAGCUAUAGACUCCCGAGGUGGCUCCAGGACUUGAGGUCUAUUUAUGCGGGGAGUAGAGAAUCUUUACUAUCCUCAACAUUCCUUUCUUUCUCCUCAACAUAGGCCAGAUGGGCUAUCCAUACUCUCUGGGACAUAGGCAGGUGCAUUUAAGUUAAUUUUUUCGCAUUACAAAGAAAGAUGACCCAGCCCGCUUGUUUAUUUUCACAUCUCUCGAAAGUUUUUAACCAAAAAAUAUCUUACUAACCCAGAGGACAUGGCUGCAUGUACAUAUGUGUUGGGUUUUUUCUUCAAUCUCUUUCUCCCCCUUCCUAGAUGCCAUAUUUUUUUUCCCUGGGAGCAGCAAACAAGAUUGUCAGAAGUAUUUUGCAAGACAAGUGGCAGUCAUCUAAAGAUCUCCAUUCCUCAAAAGUAACUUAGAAUUGAUCUAGUGUGGAGAGUUUCAUUUAAUUACUAAUUCGGAGGAUAACACGAUUUAGAAAUUAGAGUAGCAACAGAGGGCUAUUUGAGUUCCAUUGAAGUAGUCAUCUGAAAACUAGAUGUAGACAAGUAAGUUUACAUUCCUAGAUUUAAUAUAUGUAUAUUACUUGCAUAGAGAAAUAUAGACAAAUACUUAUACAUAUAUACAAUGUACAUUUUCCCUCAAUAGACUAAUUAACAGUGAAACUAACAGAUGUGGUAACUAACAGAGGCCAGCGCUGACAAGAGCAGCCUCGGUGAUUUACACUCUCUCGGGAGCUAUGGGGAAUGCAGAACAAGGGUAUACAGUACUACUUUGAGGGGAGGGAAAGAUGAGGAGAGGCAAACUCAGUGUGUCAUUUCCUUUCCGGACAAAGAUCAGAGACUCUGUCUCUCCGUGUUCACAGCGGACCUUGAUUUAAUGUCAUACAAUUAAGGCACGCGGUGAAUGCCAAGAGCCGAGCCUGAAAAACUACAUUUUGAAGGACACCAGCCCAUCUUAGAGGCAGAGAGGAAAAAUUCAACAUGAAAGAUGGACUCGAUUGCUUUGUGGGGAAGAUCCACAAUCAAAUCUUGAAACCCAGGUAGAAACCGUGAGACUUUGACAUCUGCAUACCUGCAAGUCUUUCUUCGAACUAUUAGAAAGAAGAACUUUCUGUCACAGCUGAUAGGAGGGCAAAUAUGCAGGAUGUGAGAAUGUUCAGUCAACUAUUAGCUGUUAGGAAGGAUUUUUUCCCCAGUAGCAUAGGGAAUGUUUCUGCUCCAUGAUCCAAGAGUGGGUAAGUAGGGAAAAAUAAAUAAAUAAACUAAUAAGAACCCUAUAGUAGGUGCAAUCUAUAGAAGACGCAGUACUUACUACAUUCCCUUACUCCUUUAAAAUGGAUUGAUGCAUGGGGCACAAUGAAACCGCUCCUAGGGUGAAACUUUUGCUGGUGGUUUUCUUUGUAGAAUUGACCUUGCCUAACUUAAAAUCAAGAGGACCCUCCCUCCUUUUUGCAGUCAAACGCAAAGCGCCAGACCGCUAAAUUCAAUGGAGUGGGACAAACGGGUGGAAAAUUGUAGUCCAGAAAGCUUGGAAGAACUCGGAAAAUUAAUUUAUUUGGAAGACAGUGAGGUGGAUUGUGAGAAGGUAGUAGUUCCGCACCAGGGCACUGGAGCCAAAGGAAAAUCCAGGGCUGAGAAUGGGAGACUUGAUAGAUGUCUUUGUUCAGUCUGGGCCUGUAGCGAACAAAGGAAAGGAACAGAGAUGAUCUGCAAAGGUGACAGCAGUCUUCCCCUCCCCCCCACCCUACCCCCAGAGCUGUCCGUGGUCCUGACCAUAGCCCCUUUCUCUUUGGCUCGCAAUUAAAAGAACAAUCAGGCAGACCCUUUCUCUGGAGCAGGAGUUUGCCCCAGGACACAACAAUAAAUUAGAUUAUUCAGGAAAUAAAGAUAAAAAGGGAGGGAGCCUGCAGCACCCCUCCCCCACUCUCUAACAUCACAUUAGGGUUACCCAAACUGACAUGAAACCCAUUAUUUGUAAAUACUUCCAGGAAAACUAUUUGUUGCCUUGGCAUUUCCUCAGUGUUCUAUUAUUUUGUCCUCUACAAAUCCGUCUAUAUACGGAUACAUGUAUACAUAUAUUUUAACCUACAUAUGUAUAUACACGAAUUUGCAGAGCUCAUAGAUGUAUAUAUACACACAUGCAUAGUGUGUAUAUGAAUGCAUGUGUGUACACAUCUAUGUGUGUGUGUGUGCAUGCGCUCGUGUGUGUAUGAGUAUAUGUAUUGUGUAUAUACAUACAAUGCCCUGUUGCAGAACUCCUACCUUCAGUCCACUUCACUAUAUGUGAAAAUUGCCCCUCCCCCAAAAAAAAGGAAUUGAGAAAAGGGAAGAGAAGAAUAUUUACAUAUAUAUGUAUACAUAGAUUCUUUUUAUAUAUACAUAUGUUGUUUAUAUAUUUAUCCCCAUGUUAAAGGUAGGAAACCAAUUCCUCAAGCCCAAACCAGUAGUGUUUAAUAAAGUCAAGAAAAUAAUUCAUGUAUUUAUAAUGUAAAUUUCCCUAAAUGUCCACACUCUUCCCAUCUUCCAGUAUUCCCCCCAACUCUCACACAGAAUUUCAUCUACUUUAUGCGCAUAAAGGGCAAUAAUGUUUUAGAGGGAGGUAGAAGAGGAUGCGCCAAGAGCCAGUCUCAGCACGCAGGCGCACCACAUAUUCACAUGCAGAAGAAAUACUGCAGAAAGGUAUUUCUAGAAAGCCCCAUGACAUUCUGACUGCAAUUUAACGCAUAUGAAAGGGAGCGGCCUUUUCCAAACCUUGGUUGCUAGCAUGACUGCAGUGCGGUAUGUUUGAAAAUCCGACAUCAUCAUGCCAGGGAUUCUGUGGAUUGCUUCAAUACCCUGGAAAGAAUUUUGGAGCGAGAGAAGGAGCCCUGUAAUAUAUAGAGACUAAGAAAUAUUUUCUAAUUUACGCAGGAGAUUAAGAUAAAAGCAGGGAUCCAGGGUGCAUGUGGGUAGUGUUUAAACCUCCUUUUUAGAUCUUUCAGGGAAACUCAAUGUUCCUGAACUUAUAUAUUCAAAAAGUCCCCUCUGCCCUCCCCCCCCCCCAAGAAUGGACCCAACUAAACAAAGAAACAGUAAAUGAAAUAUCUAUUUUUACCCACCCUAAUGUCAUUGGAUACAUUUUUAAAGGUAUGCAAAUAUAUGUAUUGUUAAGAGGCAAAUAAAGUAAUAGUCUACAAAUACCUACC
Molecule: long non-coding RNA, 3809 nt
Organism: Trichosurus vulpecula (common brushtail)
Lineage: Eukaryota; Metazoa; Chordata; Mammalia; Diprotodontia; Phalangeridae
Exons: 2
Source: RefSeq, a predicted model, not a curated record